Molecule: ribosomal RNA, 140 nt
Filed under: Pseudoalteromonas maricaloris
Lineage: Bacteria; Pseudomonadati; Pseudomonadota; Gammaproteobacteria; Alteromonadales; Pseudoalteromonadaceae
Description: partial 23S ribosomal RNA
Rfam family: Bacterial large subunit ribosomal RNA (bases 1-122)
Source: RNAcentral
UUCUCACUUUGACUUAGAGUCAACUGAAGGGCCGUUGAAGACUACAACGUUGAUAGGCGAGAUGUGGAAGUGCUGUGAGGCAUUAAGCUAACUCGUACUAAUUACCCGUGAGGCUUAACCAUACAACGCCAAAGUGGUUU